GAUGGGAAAGGNNUGGNAAUACUCUAUANNNCUUCUAAGCAUNANGNUNNNNUGGGAAAGUUAAUAAAAUANNNNUUUUUGGUNNNNNCUUGAANNNNANNGNNNUAUAACAACUAAAUUGAUACGCCGAUGUGGCAAACAUCGGUGUGCUUUAGGUGGGUCAAGGGAGCGCUUGCGCUUCUUGUCGCAAAGAAAGGCUUUGCCUUUCUGCGAAGUCCGUAUUUGUCAAGAUGAAAUCUUGCAAAUGUAUUUUUUCGGUGUAGGAUGAGGCUAUAUCGUAUCAGCUAGUUGGUAGGGUAACGGCCUACCAAGGCUAUGACGCGUAACUGGUCUGAGAGGAUGAUCAGUCACACUGGAACUGAGACACGGUCCAGACUCCUACGGGAGGCAGCAGUAGGGAAUAUUGCUCAAUGGGGGAAACCCUGAAGCAGCAACGCCGCGUGGAGGAUGACACUUUUCGGAGCGUAAACUCCUUUUCUUGGGAAAGAAUUAUGACGGUACCCAAGGAAUAAGCACCGGCUAACUCCGUGCCAGCAGCCGCGGUAAUACGGAGGGUGCAAGCGUUACUCGGAAUCACUGGGCGUAAAGGACGCGUAGGCGGAUUAUCAAGUCUCUUGUGAAAUCUAACGGCUUAACCGUUAAACUGCUUGGGAAACUGAUAAUCUAGAGUAAGGGAGAGGCAGAUGGAAUUCUUGGUGUAGGGGUAAAAUCCGUAGAGAUCAAGAAGAAUACCCAUUGCGAAAGCGAUCUGCUGGAACUUAACUGACGCUAAUGCGUGAAAGCGUGGGGAGCAAACAGG
RNAcentral lists this ribosomal RNA (799 nucleotides) under uncultured Campylobacter sp. RNAcentral describes it as "partial 16S ribosomal RNA". It matches the Rfam family "Bacterial small subunit ribosomal RNA", at positions 137 to 776 of the family's 1533-position model. Lineage: Bacteria; Pseudomonadati; Campylobacterota; Epsilonproteobacteria; Campylobacterales; Campylobacteraceae. The record is from RNAcentral.